RNAcentral lists this ribosomal RNA (460 nucleotides) under uncultured bacterium. RNAcentral's name for it is "partial 16S ribosomal RNA". It matches the Rfam family "Bacterial small subunit ribosomal RNA", at positions 338 to 795 of the family's 1533-position model. The record is from RNAcentral.
CCUACGGGAGGCAGCAGUGAGGAAUAUUGGUCAAUGGUCGAGAGUCUGAACCAGCCAAGUAGCGUGAAGGAUGACUGCCCUAUGGGUUGUAAACUUCUUUUAUACAGGAAUAAAAUGAGGCACGUGUGCCUUUUUGCAUGUACUUUAUGAAUAAGGAUCGGCUAAUUCCGUGCCAGCAGCCGCGGUAAUACGGAGGAUCCGAGCGUUAUCCGGAUUUAUUGGGUUUAAAGGGAGCGUAGAUGGGUUGUUAAGUCAGUUGUGAAAGUUUGCGGCUCAACCGUAAAAUUGCAAGUGAUACUGGCAGUCGUGAGUACAGUGGAGGUAGGCGGAAUUCGUGGUGUAGCGGUGAAAUGCUUAGAGAUCACGAAGAACCCCGAUUGCGAAGGCAGCUUACUAAACUGUGACUGACAUUGAUGCUCGAAAGUGUGGGUAUCAAACAGGAUUAGAUACCCUUGUAGUC